This is a long non-coding RNA of Mus musculus (house mouse), 895 nucleotides long. RefSeq annotates it as predicted gene, 39464. The record is from RefSeq and is a predicted model, not a curated record. Lineage: Eukaryota; Metazoa; Chordata; Mammalia; Rodentia; Muridae. The transcript is spliced from 3 exons.
GUCUGUUUCCACCAGUCUUGUAUCAUCCAGGUCAAAAAUACCCCUCCUGGGAGGCCAGCAUCCAGGGAGGACAGUGACCAGGGAGGGCAGCGUCUACCUCUCUUGGAUUCUACAGGACCUGCUGGCUACCCAGGAAGCCAGAUUCCAUUGCUGGAAAGAAAGGAAAAGAAACUAUGGAGUCGUCACAUCAUCACGCCAGGAAGUCACACAAGAGAAAUGUGUGAGGCUCCUCAGCCACACUCAGAACAUGGCCAUCUCUUGUCUCCACUCCAGACAAAUCCUGGGAGCACAGCCCCUCCGGGCCACCAGCGGCUGUCACUGACAUCCCUGGAGUUCGUGCUGUGGUCACAGAGAUCAUUGAUCACACAUUCUGUUCAUACCUCUCUGCUCUUGUGUGAAUACCGUGGACUUCACUGAUGAAAUACAAGAUGGAAGAUUAAAUUAUUAAGGAGUCCACAGUGGCAACAGCAGAACAUUACAAGAGCAUUCGCAGGUCUCACAUGAAGCUGCCUCUACCUGCAACUGACACAUUUAUCUGAGUCUUUACAAUGGCUGGAAAGUGGGUAAAGUUCCAUUCGUCCCUGAGUCCCGACAGCCCAGCAUGUUAAUUAAGCUUCCACCCAUAUUCAGAUAUAACACUUGAGGCUCCAGCAGGACAAACAUCCCUCUCAGAAGCACAGCACUUGUCACUCAAGCACAUGUCCCACCCAAGUGCAGAUGCCAACAGCCUAGCCAGAGACCGCGGCCUAUCCUCUAACUACCUUCAGCUGCACAGCAUAGGUCAUGAGGAGACUCUGAGCCCUCUUGCCCUCUGGCGCCUGGAGAGAUAUCACUCACCUGGUUCAUCCGGUCAAAGGAGAAGCCCUUUUAUUCCCGAGCACCACCCAGCCUCUGC